RNAcentral lists this ribosomal RNA (434 nucleotides) under uncultured bacterium. RNAcentral describes it as "partial 16S ribosomal RNA". It matches the Rfam family "Bacterial small subunit ribosomal RNA", at positions 29 to 507 of the family's 1533-position model. The record is from RNAcentral.
AGCGAACGCUGGCGGCAGGCCUAACACAUGCAAGUCGAACGAACCUUUCGGGGUUAGUGGCGGACGGGUGAGUAACACGUGGGAACGUGCCUUUAGGUUCGGAAUAACUCAGGGAAACUUGUGCAAAUACCGAAUGUGCCCUUCGGGGGAAAGAUUAAUCGCCUUUAGAGCGGCCCGCGUCUGAUUAGCUAGUUGGUUGAGGUAAUGGCUCACCAAGGCGACGAUCAGUAGCUGGUCUGAGAGGAUGAUCAGCCACAUUGGGACUGAGACACGGCCCAAACUCCUACGGGAGGCAGCAGUGGGGAAUCUUGCGCAAUGGGCGAAAGCCUGACGCAGCCAUGCCGCGUGAAUGAUGAAGGUCUUAGGAUUGUAAAAUUCUUUCACCGGGGACGAUAAUGACGGUACCCGGAGAAGAAGCCCCGGCUAACUUCGUG